RNAcentral lists this ribosomal RNA (1113 nucleotides) under uncultured organism. RNAcentral's name for it is "bacterial SSU rRNA". It matches the Rfam family "Bacterial small subunit ribosomal RNA", at positions 348 to 1463 of the family's 1533-position model. The record is from RNAcentral.
GCAGCAGUCGAGAAUCAUUCGCAAUGGGGGAAACCCUGACGAUGCGACGCCGCGUGGAGGAUGAAGGCCUUAGGGUUGUAAACUCCUGUCAAGAGGGAAUAAGCAAGUGAAGGUACCUCUAGAGGAAGGGGCGGCUAAUUCCGUGCCAGCAGCCGCGGUAACACGGAAGCCCCGAGCGUUGUUCGGAUUCAUUGGGCGUAAAGGGUGCGUAUGCGGCGCGGAAAGUCCGGCGUGAAAGGCAGGGGCUCAACCUCUGGACUGCGUUGGAUACUUCCGUGCUUGAGGACUGGAGGGGAGACUGGAAUUCACGGUGUAGCAGUGAAAUGCGUAGAUAUCGUGAGGAAGACCGGUGGCGAAGGCGAGUCUCUGGACAGAUCCUGACGCUGAGGCACGAAGGCUGGGGGAGCGAACAGGAUUAGAUACCCUGGUAGUCCCAGCAGUAAACGAUGUGAGCUUGAUGUGGGGGGAUUCGACCCCUUCCGUGUCGAAGCUAACGCGAUAAGCUCACCGCCUGAGGAGUACGGCCGCAAGGCUAAAACUCAAAGAAAUUGACGGGGACCCGCACAAGCGGUGGAGUAUGUGGCUUAAUUCGAUGCAACGCGAAGAACCUUACCUGGCCUUGACAUGCAUUAUGUCGUCGGUGAAAGCCGGCUAGUCCUGGAAACAGGACGCUUUGCACAGGUGCUGCAUGGCUGUCGUCAGCUCGUGUCAUGAGAUGUUGGGUUAAGUCCCGCAACGAGCGCAACCCUUGUGGUCAGUUACUAACCGGCUUAGCCGGAGGACUCUGGCCAGACUGCCCUGUCAAACGGGGAGGAAGGUGGGGACGACGUCAAGUCAGUAUGGCCCUUAUGGCCAGGGCUGCACACGUACUACAAUGCCCGGUACAAUGUGAACCGAAACCGCGAGGUGGAGGAAAUCGCUCUUGAAAACCGGGCCCAGUUCGGAUUGGAGUCUGCAACUCGACUCCAUGAAGUCGGAAUCGCUAGUAAUGGCGUAUCAGCAACGACGCCGUGAAUACGUUCCCGGGUCUUGUACACACCGCCCGUCACAUCAUGGAAGUCUCCUGUACCCGAAGCACGUGCGCCAACCUUUCAGGAGGCAGCGUUCGAAGGU